This is an RNA transcript of Globicephala melas (long-finned pilot whale), 8101 nucleotides long. It is a transcript of the gene named SH3 domain and tetratricopeptide repeats 2, with no coding region annotated. The record is from RefSeq and is a predicted model, not a curated record. NCBI's taxonomy places the organism in Eukaryota, Metazoa, Chordata, Mammalia, Artiodactyla, Delphinidae.
AGUGCUCCUCUGGCUGGUGUUCCCAGGGGCCUUGGCCCGGGGAGGAUGGUGCACACAUGGGUGGCUGCUUCUGCAUCCCUUGGGAGCCGAGUCUGUCCUGGGGGCCAGGUAAAGAAACUUCUUCCAAGGAUCCAACCAUAUCCACUGAGAUUAUAUCCUCAUCUGAAAACAAGGAAAAAUGUUUCCUGCCACAGAAUAUGACUCCAGAUCUGACGCUCUCCUUCAGUGUGAAGAGCCGCUCCAGGAGGUGUGUAAAUGGCCCCUUGCAAGAAGCAGCUCGGAGGCGGCUCUGGGCGCUGGAGAAUGAGGACCAGGAGGUUCGUGCAUUGUUUAAGGACCUCUCAGCUAGGUUGGUGUGUAUACAGUCCCAGAAGGCCCAGUUCCUCAUUACCUUCAAGACCAUGGAGGAAAUCUGGAAGUUCUCCACCUACCUGAACUUAGGCUACGUAUCCAUGUGUCUGGAGCAUCUCCUCUUUGAUCACAAGUACUGGCUUAACUGCCGACUGGUGGAGGAUACAGAGAUCCACGUGUCAGUAGAUGAUAAACACCUGGAAACAAUAUACCUGGGACUUCUGAUCCAGGAAGGUCACUUCUUCUGCAGAGCCACGUGCUCCAUGGCUCAGCCAGCUGAGAAGGAAGGGGAGUAUUUGACACUUUGCAAGAAUGAGUUAAUCUCGGUGAAGACAGCUGAAGGCGAGUUCGAGUGGGAAGGCGUGUCCUUGGUGACGGGUCAGCGGGGCUUGGUGCCAGUGUCAGCCUUGGAACCCCUGCCUCUCCCUUUCCACCAAUGGUUCCUAAAGAAUUAUCCAGGAAGCUGUGGCCUUUCCAGGAAGAGGGAUUGGACAGGCUCCUAUCAGAUCGGUAGAGGAAAAUGUAAGGCCUGGAAAGAAUAUGAGAGGGAAGAAAAGGAUGAACUGAAUUUCCACCAGGGAGAAAGCAUUGAGAUCAUCGGCUUUGUCAUUCCUGGGCUUCAGUGGUUCAUUGGGAAGUCAGCGCUCUCAGGAGAAGUGGGCUUUGUCCCCACCAGGAACAUAGAUCCUGAUUCUUAUUCCCCAAUGAGCAAGAACUCCACCUUUUUCAGUGAUGAGGAAAGAUGCUCUCUGGGGGUCCCGGGAAGUGACAGGAAAGCUGAGUGUGCCAGCUUCCUCCACACGCUUGCUCAGACUGACAUAACAUCUGUCUACCGGCUUAGUGGGUUUGAAUCCAUCCAGAGUCUUCCAAACGAUCUGAGCGCGUCCCAGCCCGAAGGCUUCAAGGAGACCCGGCCUGGUGGAGCCUCGGAGGAGCAUCAGGCCGUGGGCUCCAGACAGUCCAGCAGCUCCGAGGACUCCAGCCUGGAGGAGGAGCUCCUUUCAGCCUCCUCAGACACCUAUCACCUGCCAGAGCCUGAUGACCUCGAUGACCCGGAGCUGCUCAUGGACCUGAACACCGGUCAGGAGGAGGAGGAGGCUGAGAACUUCACCCCCAUAUUGGCUUUUCUGGAUCACGAGGGUUAUGCUGACCACUUUAAGAGCCUCUAUGAUUUUUCCUUCUCUUUCCUCACGACUUCCUUCUACAGCUACUCUGAGGAGGAUGAGCUCGUGGCCUACCUGGAGGCCUCGAGGAAGUGGGCCAAGCGCAGCCACAUGACCUGGGCCCAUGCCCGGCUCUGCUUCCUCCUGGGCCGGCUAAGCGUUAGGAAGGUCAAACUCUCUCAGGCCAGGGUGUACUUUGAGGAGGCCAUCCACAUUCUCAACGGGGCAUUUAAGGACUUGUCCUUGGCGGCUGCCCUGUACAUCAAUUUGGCGGCCAUCUACCUGAGGCAGAGGCUGAGGCAUAAAGGCUCAGGCCUGUUGGAAAAGGCAGGUGCCAUGUUGGUCUGCCUGCCUGACCGGGAGUAUAGUGCCAAGAGUGAGCUGGAUGUGGUGGCCUAUGUGCUGAGACAGGGCAUCGUGUCGGGCAGCUGCCCCCUGGAGGCCAGAGCCUGCUUCCUGGCCGUCCGAUUGCUCCUAAUCCUCGGCCGGCACGAUGAGGUCCUGCCCUUCGCUGAGCGCCUGCAGCUCCUCUCUGGACACCCUCCCACCUUGGAUGCUGCAGCCACUAUCUUGAGUUUUCUCUAUGACAAGAAAUACCUGCCACACCUUGCGGUGGCUUCUGUCCGGCAACGUGGUACUCAGAGCACCCAAGGGAUGGCCCUUCCAAUUUGGCAGGUCCACCUGGUCCUCCAGAACACCACCAAGCUCCUUGGCAUCCCCUCCCCAAGCUGGGGUGAAGUUUCUGCCCUGGCGUGCCCAGCACUCAGGCAGGCACUGGCUGCCUGUGAGGAGCAGGUGGAUCAGAGCACCCAGAGGACCCUGUGUCUCAUCCUGUCCAAAGUGUACCUCCAGCAUAGGUCUCCUGAUGGUGCCAUCCACUACCUGAGCCAAGCCUUGAUGCUAGGCCAGCUGCUGAGUGAGCGGGAAGCUUUUGAGUCUUCCCUCUGCUUGGCGUGGGCCUAUCUCUUAGCCAGCCAGGCAAAGAAGGCUUUGGACAUCCUUGAGCCACUCUUACACUCCCUGAAGGAGACAGAGAGUGUUACCCAAAAGGGAGUGGUCCAGAACCUCCUGGGACUCGCACUUCAAGGUGAAGGCCGGGUGAACAGGGCAGCCAACAGCUAUCUUUGGGCCUUGAACAGAGCUCAGGAGGCAAGGGAUGUGCGCAACCAGGCGGUGGCUUUGGCCAAUCUUGGCCAUCUGACCCUUAAAUCCUGGACUCAGCAGCCAGCCAGGGACUAUCUUCUGCAGGCUGUGCAACUCUAUUCUAAACUCCAGGCCAGCAUGGAGACAGACAUGGAAUUAGUACAGGUGCUUCUCUGGUUGGCCCAAGUUGAGGUGUAUCGACACCAGCUGGCCAGUGGCCGCUUUUGUUACGAAAUGGCAUUGCUGUUUGGAUUAAGGCAUCAACACCUGAAGAGUCAGCUUCAGGUCACCAAAUCCCUCUGCCAUUUCUACAGCUCUGUGUCCCCAAGCCCCGAGGCAUGUAUCACCUACCACGAGCACUGGCUGGCCCUGGCUCAGCAACUCAGGGACCGGGAGAUGGAGGGGAGGCUGCUGGAGUCCCUUGGGCAGCUCUAUCGGAACCUAAAUACGGCCAGGUCCCUUAGGAGGUCCCUCACCUGCAUCAAGGAGAGCCUGCGUAUCUUCGUUGACCUGGGGGAGAGAGACAAGGCUGCUGAGGCCUGGCUUGGGGCUGGGCGACUCCACUACCUCAUGCAGGAAGACGAGCUGGUGGAGCUGUACCUGCAGGCAGCCAUCCAGAAAGCCCUGAAGUCAGAGGAGCCUUCCCUGGCUCUCAGGCUCUACGAGGAAGCAGGUGAUGUGUUCUUCAAUGGGACCCGCCACAGGCAUCGUGCGGUGGAGUAUUACCGAGCUGGGGCUGUUCCCUUAGCAAGGAGGAUGAAGGCAGUGAAAACCGAGCUCCGGAUUUUCAACAAGCUGACAGAGCUGCAGAUCAGCCUGGAAGGCUAUGAGAAGGCUUUGGAAUUUGCCACCUUGGCGGCCAGACUCAGCACAGUCGCAGGAGAUCAGAGGCAGGAGCUGGUGGCCUUCCACCGUCUGGCGACUGUGUACUAUUCCCUGCACAUGUACGAGAUGGCUGAGGACUGCUACCUGAAGACUCUGUCGCUCUGUCCACCCUGGUUGCAGAGCCCCAAGGAGGGCUUAUACUAUGCCAAGGUGUAUUAUCGCCUGGGCCAACUCACCUUCUACCAGCUGAAGAUUACAUUCACUGAAGAAAAAAUUAACCUCAUUCUGUGGAUGAAGAAACUGAGUCUUGGAGACAUAAGUCCAUUGGUCAGACCCAACAGGAGGCUCCGCCCAGCUCAAGGCAGUGUGCGCAGAGGUGGUGGGACGUGCCGGGAUUAUUAUCUUCCCCUGUGCCUGGAAAGAAGAGGACUGAAAAGGUACGCGGGCCUCCCACUGCCGUGGCCUCUCCCGUCGUGGAGCACAGGCUCUGGACGCGCGGGCUCAGCGGCCAUGGCUCACAGGCCCAGCCGCUCCGUGGCAUGUGGAAUCCUCCUGGACCGGGACACGAACCUGUGUCCCCUGCGUCGGCAGGCGGACCCCCAACCACUGCGCCACCAGGGAAGCCCCUAGAUUCUUUUUAUUGUGUCCUUUUUAUGAAUAAAAACAACAAAAAGCCCCACAAGUCACAGAGACCUUAACCAAUCUAAGGACACAUGGGUUGUUGUUGGUGGAUUCAGAUGGGAAAGAGGGAAGGAAAGAGCUGGUAUGGUAGAUGAGUGGAGAAUAAACUCAAAGUUCCAUAGUGUGUCGGGGGCAGGCAGCAGAGUCCUGGAAACUGAACUCUGGCUCAGAGUCUUAAUGAAUGUCUGUCUUUAACUGUCUUACUCAUCUAGUAUCUUAGGAUCAGCCCAAGAAGGUUCUUUGCUUGAAUGGGCUUCAAUGACAGAUUAUAUUGGAGAGUCCUUGGUGACAUGUGAGCCCAAGAUAAUUGCAAUGCCAUCGUUAGAUAUUGAUUCUUCCUUCAUAACACAAACAUGAGUCACAAAAAUAAUCCAAUCUUAUUAUGCCUGGGGGCAAGGAAAACAAACAAAGAAAGGUCCAUCGGUCAUUUUCACAUCUGUGAUAUUUUCGCUUUGUACUAGGUGUCAGGCUCCAUAUUGCACCAAAGAGGAAAUAGGUUCAGAGAGAGGAACUUCAAUUAGUAAGAAUCUAGGAUCCAAAUUUGGGUCUUCUCCAAAUCUUUAGCUUCUUCCUAAAUACAAAUCUUGGGCACCGUAUUGAAAGUCAUGCUCAGUGUCUCUUAAAUGCAAUUAUUAUUAUUUUUUUUUCAAACUAACUUCCCAGAAUGAAAAGUUCUUUUGAAACAAGACCUGGCCAAUUUUUCAUGAAGAGAAGAUUAAUGAUAGGAUCUGUUUAAAAUCAUAUUGCUUAUGUCAAAUGUCCUUUUAAUUAAUUAAUUAAUUAAUAUUUUUCGUUGUGUUGGGUCUUCGUUGCUGCGCGGGCUUUCUCUAGUUGCGGCGAGCGGGGGCUACUCUUCGUUGUGGUGUGUGGAUUUCUCAUUGCGGUGGCUUCUUGUAUCGUAUCGGAGCACGGGCUCUAGGUGCGCAGGCUUCAGUGGUUGCGGUGCACGGGCUUAGUUGCUCCGCGGCAUGUGAGAUCUUCCCAGACCAAGGCUUGAACCUGCGUCCCAUGCAUUGGCAGGCGGAUUCUUAACCACUGCGCCACCAGAGAAGUCCUGUCAAAUGUCCUUUUGAUAACUAUUUAUAAAAGGGCUUAUUUAAAAUACAAAAAUUUGGUUCCCCCAAAAGUAACAUGUGUCCUCCUAGGGACAAAUUAAUAGAAGCAAACAGUAGUGUUCUUGGAAAUCCCUUGGAUAAAUAAUUUUGUACACGCUGUUCCCUUUAGCCCCGCCUUACCUGCGGCUACACCUUGUUCCUCUGUUGAAUCAACUCUGCUGAAGUCCUCUUAUCCUCUGCACUCUGGUUGCCUUUCCUUCCCUCCACUCCACCCCCUACACCCUCAGCUCCUAUGGAUCUUUCUUUCCAUGUAAUUUCUUAGCCCUUCCUAUCCAUACCUCUUAGAAAGCAAACCCCCUGGGGCUGGGGCCUGGUUUUUCUUCACUGUCACUGUGACCUCAGCGUGCUGCCUGGCUCAUAGUAGUUGAACAAUAAAUAUUUGUUGGAUGAAUGAAUGCAUGGGUCACCCGCUACUAAACACAGCCUGGCUGGCACUGUUAAUUCGAGUUCUCUCCUUCUUUAUUUGUCUCUUCUAUUUAUACUCCUAACAACAACCCUGGCACACAGAAUGGGAGCUCUGUUUGUCAAGUGAAUCAAGGAAGGAAAGAAAUACUGAAAUAUUGUUUUAUAAAACAUGCUUUCAAUAGAAACAGAAUUUAUCCAUCUUGUGAAAUAACAUCAUAUCUCUCCUCUGUCCUGAAGAGAGUGGAGAUGAGAUGUUCGGUGGUGGAGGUAACUUAACAGUCUCUAUAAGUGGGUGCAUUUUUAUGGUGCGUUUGCAUGAUCACAGAUUCCUAAUGCUUCUGGUUGACAGAGACCUUAGCAAUCAAGUGGCAGUAGUGGUAAUAGUGAAGUUUAACAGUUAUCAAGUACAUUAGUCCAGGCUCUGUGCCAAGGGUUUUGUUUGUAUUAACUCAUUAAAUUCUUACAACCAACCUGUGAGGUAGGACUGUGUAUUAUUCCCAUUCAACAGCUGAGGAAACUGAGGCACAAAGAGCUACAUAAACAGGACUCUCUGAAGACUUAUGGGUGUGUGUGGGAGCUUCUAGGCUGCUCUGGGGAUGAGGGGAAAGUGCAAGACCAUGUGAAGGCAAGGAAGGCUAUCAGGCAAGAGCCUGCCCUCCUCUCCUAUAUCGAGAGCUGCUAUUCUGUUAAAUGUUUUACGUAUCAGGCUCCUGCAAAAAUAUUUCUUAGGGGAACAGGGUUUUAUCUAGCUAGAAAGAAAGACAGAUAUUUUAGUUUUACAGAUAAGAUACAAAGAUUUCAGGAUGUUAAAACACUUGGCAAUUGUCAUCAUGGCUAAGCCAGGUCUAAAAAUCUCGACUCCAAAUAGUCCAGGAAUCUAUUUCCUAUGCCGUGUUACUCGGGUGCCUGGUAUCUCCAUAAUGGCACUUAAAUUUGGUAUAACUCAUUGACCAUGACUUCUUUGUCCAAACUUUUGUUUCCAGAUGUAUGUUCUGAGCAAUACUGAGUAAAAUAAGGUUAAUUACAAGGUAAAUUUAGAAGUAUCGGUCUUGCAGAAUUGUUAGAGGAAAACAGGAAGGACAAGGCAAAGCUAGACAAGGCAGGAAGUAGAAAGAGUACUCAAGGCAUUUGGAGAAGACCAGGGUGUGUGUGUGGAGGUGGGGUACUGUGUAUGACAAAAUAGGCAGGCUUCUGACCCUGGAAUAAAAAUGACAACAGCAAUAACAAUAACAUUUUUUUUUGAAUGCCUAACAUGUGACAUGUUCAUAAAGCUCAAUGCUUUACAUGCACCAUCACUUUUAAUACUGAGGCCAACUAGCUCUCCUUGUUUCCGUGAAGAGGAAAUGGAUGCUUAUAGAGCUGGUAAGUGGUAGAGAGAAAACCAAUGUCUGUCUGGCAUCAAAGUGCAUGCUCUGAAUCCCUCAGCUACACUGUGACUUCAAAGCCCCCAGAAUCACUGGGACUUAGGCAUUUUUGUACCCAGUGGCAGCUCUUGGGACUAGGUCUACCUCAGAGCUAAGGCCCCUGACCCCGACUCAGGGACCCUAUGAGAAGCUUGAAUUAGAUCUACCUUUACAGCAAGCUGAGCCAGUCUAGGGUGAUUCAACCACCUGCUACUUGGAUGCCUGAGAUUCUUUGACCUGGGGACCAAGUCUUCCAUUCCCCAGUUAGAGAUAAAAUACUGAGAUUCUUGGUGGCUGCGUUUUAGUCAAUGAGGAAGUUGGAAACGAUGGCCAAAAGCAAUGCCUGCACUUUUAUAGCCUUUUAAGAUUUUCAAAGUAUUUCCCCUCUGUGUUUUUUCAAGGUCAUUAGGACAGAUGUUACAACUCCUACUUGACGGAUCAGAUCAGAACGAAGGAAAAAUUUAUGGAGAGUUACACACAUCUCGGAAGUGGUUGACCAAGAACUCAAUCCCUCAUCUUUUCAGGUCAUUUCCUCUUUGCCAGGCACUAGAACGGUGAAGGUCCUAGAAGGGAUUAGUAGUGUGAAGGGCAGGAGAGAAGCUCUGCUGACGGGCCCAGUAUGGAAAAAAACCGGCUGGUGAAACUGAGGCCUAGAUAUGGGGAAGGACUUGCCUGAAGCACACGGCCAGCUACAGCCAACGGCUGGGCUAGAACAUCUAUAUACCCUCAGAUGUUUCUUCCAUGAUUACUAUAUCUCUGGGAGGAGAAAAGCAAGCCCAGCAGAUACAGUCUACUGCUUCAUGGAGCUCAGACUUUAUUAGGGGAGAUAGACCUAACAGCUGCGCAUCACACUGUUGCAAGGAUGCCUGCUGGGGAGAACUCUGAGCUAAGUGGAUGCUGUGAUGUCCUGCAGAGCUGGGUCAACAGGCUGUAAAGAGGCGUGGUGUGAAGCUGAGGCAUUCCAAGGAAGACUUUACUGGAAUAGGUGGCAACUUGGUUUUGGGAGUUUAUAAGA